RNAcentral lists this ribosomal RNA (497 nucleotides) under uncultured bacterium. RNAcentral's name for it is "partial 16S ribosomal RNA". It matches the Rfam family "Bacterial small subunit ribosomal RNA", at positions 28 to 507 of the family's 1533-position model. The record is from RNAcentral.
GAUGAACGCUGGCGGCGUGCCUAAUACAUGCAAGUCGAGCGAACAGACGAGGAGCUUGCUCCUUCGACGUUAGCGGCGGACGGGUGAGUAACACGUAGGUAACCUACCUAUAAGACUGGGAUAACUUCGGGAAACCGGAGCUAAUACCGGAUAAUAUUUCGAACCGCAUGGUUCGAUAGUGAAAGAUGGCUUUGCUAUCACUUAUGGAUGGACCUGCGCCGUAUUAGCUAGUUGGUAAGGUAACGGCUUACCAAGGCAACGAUACGUAGCCGACCUGAGAGGGUGAUCGGCCACACUGGAACUGAGACACGGUCCAGACUCCUACGGGAGGCAGCAGUAGGGAAUCUUCCGCAAAGGGCGAAAGCCUGACGGAGCAACGCCGCGUGAGUGAUGAAGGUCUUCGGAUCGUAAAACUCUGUUAUUAGGGAAGAACAAACGUGUAAGUAACUGUGCACGUCUUGACGGUACCUAAUCAGAAAGCCACGGCUAACUACGUG